This 73-nucleotide transfer RNA is filed under the name Schistocerca americana (American grasshopper). RNAcentral's name for it is "tRNA-Val". It matches the Rfam family "tRNA". Rfam says of the family: Transfer RNA (tRNA) molecules are approximately 80 nucleotides in length. The record is from RNAcentral. Lineage: Eukaryota; Metazoa; Arthropoda; Insecta; Orthoptera; Acrididae.
GUUUCCGUGGUGUAGCGGUUAUCACGUCUGCUUUACACGCGGAAGGUCCCCGGUUCGAUCCUGGGCGGGAACA